CCUACGGGAUGCAGCAGUGGGGAAUUUUGGACAAUGGGCGAAAGCCUGAUCCAGCCAUGCCGCGUGCAGGAUGAAGGCCUUCGGGUUGUAAACUGCUUUUGUACGGAACGAAACGGCCUUUUCUAAUAAAGAGGGCUAAUGACGGUACCGUAAGAAUAAGCACCGGCUAACUACGUGCCAGCAGCCGCGGUAAUACGUAGGGUGCAAGCGUUAAUCGGAAUUACUGGGCGUAAAGCGUGCGCAGGCGGUUAUGUAAGACAGUUGUGAAAUCCCCGGGCUCAACCUGGGAACUGCAUCUGUGACUGCAUAGCUAGAGUACGGUAGAGGGGGAUGGAAUUCCGCGUGUAGCAGUGAAAUGCGUAGAUAUGCGGAGGAACACCGAUGGCGAAGGCAAUCCCCUGGACCUGUACUGACGCUCAUGCACGAAAGCGUGGGGAGCAAACAGGAUUAGAUACCCUAGUAGUC
This 465-nucleotide ribosomal RNA is filed under the name uncultured bacterium. RNAcentral describes it as "bacterial SSU rRNA". It matches the Rfam family "Bacterial small subunit ribosomal RNA", at positions 338 to 795 of the family's 1533-position model. The record is from RNAcentral.